Molecule: non-coding RNA, 91 nt
Filed under: Desulfobacter sp.
Lineage: Bacteria; Pseudomonadati; Thermodesulfobacteriota; Desulfobacteria; Desulfobacterales; Desulfobacteraceae
Description: Desulfitibacter sp. c-di-GMP sequence
Rfam family: c-di-GMP-I riboswitch aptamer
About the family: GEMM was predicted in a large-scale screen for bacterial structured RNA regulatory elements. Genes associated with GEMM are involved in a diverse array of functions, including chemotaxis regulation, signal transduction, secretion and chitin.
Source: RNAcentral
AGUUGAAAAAGGCAAAACUAUUGAAAGAUAGUGACUGCAAAGCUAUGGGUCUAAAACUGUUAAGUGCAGCUAUGAUCGCCAGGCUACCAAC